This 268-nucleotide long non-coding RNA is filed under the name Trifolium pratense (red clover). RNAcentral's name for it is "long non-coding RNA (TPRA_LNC000240)". Lineage: Eukaryota; Viridiplantae; Streptophyta; Magnoliopsida; Fabales; Fabaceae. The record is from RNAcentral.
GAAAAAUGAUUAACAUAACAAUUUCGGUAUUAUCAUAUUAAGUAGGUCCUUACAAAUCCCUAAUUAACAUUUCUACUAAUUGUUAGAAAAUUUUACAUCACAAAGCUUUCGAUAGAACUUGAAAAAUUUUGACAAGAAUUUUAUAACAAAAUAUAUACACGUAAAACCAUUUUUAAUUAUUUUUUUAUCAAAUUUUCUAACAAAUUUGUUCUUAUUAUAAAUAUGUAUCCAAUAUAUAUCCCGUGCAUCGCACGGGCAAACGAACUAG